CGUCGCCACGGUAAUACAGAGGGUGCAAGCGUUAAUCGGAUUUACUGGGCGUAAAGGGCGCGUAGGUGGUUAUGUAAGUGAGAUGUGAAAUCCCCGGGCUCAACCUGGGAACUGCAUCUUAUACUGCGUAGCUGGAGUGCAGUAGAGGGUAGUGGAAUUUCCGGUGUAGCGGUGAAAUGCGUAGAUAUCGGAAGGAACACCAGUGGCGAAGGCGGCUAUCUGGACUGACACUGACACUGAGGCGCGAAAGCGUGGGGAGCAAACAGGAUUAGAUACCCGGUAGUCCAUGUCUCUUAUACAC
RNAcentral lists this ribosomal RNA (301 nucleotides) under uncultured bacterium. Its description in RNAcentral is "partial 16S ribosomal RNA". It matches the Rfam family "Bacterial small subunit ribosomal RNA", at positions 510 to 809 of the family's 1533-position model. The record is from RNAcentral.